This is a long non-coding RNA of Gopherus agassizii (Agassiz's desert tortoise), 1553 nucleotides long. NCBI's taxonomy places the organism in Eukaryota, Metazoa, Chordata, Testudines, Testudinidae. The record is from Ensembl.
UCCCAUUUCCUCGCUCCUACCUGCGACUCUGCCCAGCCAGGGCUCAUAGCUGCAAAUAUUAGCAACACAUCCAUUUAGCUCAGCCUCCUCUGAACCAGCUACAGCCUGGUGCUUGGUCUGUUCGAAACAGCGGGUGGCAAAGCAACUCUUCCUGCUAGCUCGACUGCGGCUGAGCCCCUUUGUGUACAGUCAGAUCCUUAGGAACUGGGGGGCUCCUCCCCAGUUUGAACCUUUGCUCUCCACCCCAACCCCUCCUUUUCAUUUUUUUUAAACUCUGCUGUGGUCCUUGAUGAAAAGCUAUAGCUCAGUCUGAUCAGGCAUCCUCACUCUGUCCUGGGCAUGGCUCCGUGUCCUCCGGCUGGGAGAGGAGGGAAAUACUGUGGGGGUUGGGGAACGAGAUCUGGGCUAGUCCUCGUCUCUGCCAUUACAGCCACCUUGCCUGCCUCCCUCACUGCAGCAGCAUCUGCGGCUCAGGCUCUCCCUCCCCUGCAGUCCAACAGGCAGCCUGUGCCCCUGCCUCCACCACAUCCAUCAUGCUGGAUAUUUUCAUCUUAAUGUUUUUUGCCAUCAUCGGCCUGGUGAUCCUCUCCUAUAUCAUCUACCUGCUCUAAGAGCUCCAACAGCAGUGCAGGGGAAGGAUGAAGCACAGCAGCCAGCCAUCCUGCCAAUCAAAGCAUCAUUCAGCUCUCAGGCCUGGGUCAGACAAGUGUCACAUUAUCCUCAGCAGCAGCAAUGCCAGAGCCAUCAGGAGAAAGAGCUAACCCUUCCCAAGCAACCCGCUUCCCGAGCAGCUGGAGAGAGGAAAACCCCAGGAAGAGCAGCCAUUGGACAGUGCAGAUGUCAAGACUUAUAAAUGCCCUUGGCAGAAUGUCUGAGCUGUAAUGCAUUUGAAGAGCAAAUACAAAGCAACCUGGCCUCAGGAAUGGACAGAGAGAGAGAGAGAGAGAGAGCGAUAACGAAACCUCACUAUGGAGUAUAGUGUGUUGUUUUGUUUGCCAUGCUGGUAUUAAGGAAAUGUAACUGUUCAUUGUUCUGUGGCCACAUAGAUACCCCCCACCCUUGGGAUAAGUACCUGCUGUUUUUUAGUUUUAGAAAGUAUAUAUAUAUUUUUUUUACUUAAAAAAAUUUAAAAAGCUAAGAAAACAAAAAGUGAGAGCAAAAUCUGAAUAUCACAAUAGUAUCUUAUUCAGACACGUCACCUUUCAUUUUUCACUGAUCACUCACUGCUUAUCACUGGUUAUUGCUUAAAUGCAGCUACUUCUGGGGUGGAGGGUGGCAACUAGCUAGAACACUUCAGGAAUGGGAGCAUGAAUUUUGACUCAAUAGCAGUGAGUAGUGCAGGUAUACCAUAUCCAUCUGAGCACUGGCCUGACCACUGCAGUCAUGUUUAAUUCUUCCUCAUCCUCCAGACUGCUAGUCCACACAACAGACACUUUUUAUUUUGGACAAAUGCAAAUAGUUUUCUGGGGUUAAAAAUGGAAUGCAAACCAACAACAUGGAAGACUUAGUCAACCACUACUGUGUAAUAAACAUCACAUGUAAUGUUUAUUUCA